This 1138-nucleotide long non-coding RNA is filed under the name Coffea arabica (coffee). Its description in RNAcentral is "long non-coding RNA (CARA_LNC002851)". Lineage: Eukaryota; Viridiplantae; Streptophyta; Magnoliopsida; Gentianales; Rubiaceae. The record is from RNAcentral.
CAGGACUCACGCAAGCAUUCUAACCCAAAUCCCUUCAAAGGAUAACUUAAUCUGUGAUAAAACAAAUCUUCCCGAAUAAGAUCAUCCUUACAUCCAACUUAACUUCAGAGAUAGCAGAGAUAAAUUAGCCAGUCGAGGCUCUUAAACGUCCCACGUGCUACGUACCAAAAUAUAAAGUCGUACCAAUCCGGGUAGAUAAAUACAUAAAUCUCUAUUACAAAUUUACAGGCCAAGUAAUCGAAUUAGGGUUUACACACUUUCCAGUUUCAAGUGGCAACCCAAAAGAAAAGUGCAUUAUCUCAAAUAACACAUUACAGCCCACAGAAUAAGUUAUAGUAUUCAAAUACAAUCCAAAAGGAAAACUUAAGUAAGCAUCCAGCUUUCAGUUUCCAGAACCUGUUAAGGAAAACAAUAAACGUGGGGUGAGCUAAAACUCAGUGGUGCCCCAAAACAUGCAAUCACAUAAUUUCAAACAGCGAUUAAUAACUGCACAAAUUUAAACAGUUAGGAAAGCGUAUAACAGCACAGGGUAGGAUACAGGGGCUCUCAGGAGCCAUUUUCCACGCUUGAUCAGAUACCAUCGUAGUUGACCCUCCGUCAACUUUCACUACUUAUAAUCCAUGUAGAUCCACUUUUAUAUAUAUAUAUAUAUACUAGUCGAGGGAUUCACCCAACGACAUUGCGUCCAGCAUGAGGUUAUUAUUGACUAGUCGAGGGAUUCACCCAGCGACGUUGCGUCCAACUUGUGGUUAUUAUAGACUAGUCGAGGGAUUCACCCAGCGACUUAUUGCAGUUAGAUUCACGCGUCGAGGGAUUCACCCAACGACGCAACUACAUUUAGAUUCACAGAUUCAGAUGUUAUGGUAGUUGGAUUCACAUGUCGAGGGAUUCACCCAGCGACGCAACUACAUUUAGAUUCACAGAUUCAUUAGAAAAUGUUUCACACACGUCACCACUCGAACGGCUAGUGCGAUAAAGUACACACUGCUCACUUCGAUGGAUCAAAAAUCAUUUAUUGCAUUUUGACAAUUAUCACAUAGCGAAUUGAUAAAGCGCUUAACCACAUAACAUAGAACAAGCAGGGACACUCACCAAAAGUGAAGUUCAAAGGUCAAGCCGGGAAUCGUAGUCCAAGUCC